GUUGGAAUGAUGAACUUUAUGUCGGAUACCCCUUCACUCGUAAGAAUGAGUGAAAAAUUCCUUCUGACGAC
This is a small nucleolar RNA of Carcharodon carcharias (great white shark), 71 nucleotides long. RefSeq annotates it as small nucleolar RNA SNORD101. The transcript has a single exon. The record is from RefSeq and is a predicted model, not a curated record. Lineage: Eukaryota; Metazoa; Chordata; Chondrichthyes; Lamniformes; Lamnidae.